CAGUAGCCACGGUAAUACAGAGGGUGCAAGCGUUAAUCGGAAUUACUGGGCGUAAAGCGCGCGUAGGUGGUUUGUUAAGUUGGAUGUGAAAGCCCCGGGCUCAACCUGGGAACUGCAUCCAAAACUGGCAAGCUAGAGUACGGUAGAGGGUGGUGGAAUUUCCUGUGUAGCGGUGAAAUGCGUAGAUAUAGGAAGGAACACCAGUGGCGAAGGCGACCACCUGGACUGAUACUGACACUGAGGUGCGAAAGCGUGGGGAGCAAACAGGAUUAGAUACCCCUGUAGUCCCUGUCUCUUAUAA
Molecule: ribosomal RNA, 301 nt
Filed under: uncultured bacterium
Lineage: Bacteria
Description: partial 16S ribosomal RNA
Rfam family: Bacterial small subunit ribosomal RNA
Source: RNAcentral